This 323-nucleotide ribosomal RNA is filed under the name uncultured Actinomycetes bacterium. Its description in RNAcentral is "bacterial SSU rRNA". It matches the Rfam family "Bacterial small subunit ribosomal RNA", at positions 28 to 351 of the family's 1533-position model. The record is from RNAcentral. Lineage: Bacteria; Bacillati; Actinomycetota; Actinomycetes.
GACGAACGCUGGCGGCGUGCUUAACACAUGCAAGUCGAACGGUGAACCAGGGCUUGCCCUGGGAAUCAGUGGCGAACGGGUGAGUAACACGUGGGCAACCUGCCCCAGACAUCGGGAUAACCAUUCGAAAGGAUGGCUAAUACCGGAUAUGACCACUUUGGGCAUCCAACGGUGGUGGAAAGGAUUCUGGUCUGGGAUGGGCCCGCGGCCUAUCAGCUAGUUGGUGGGGUAAUGGCCUACCAAGGCGACGACGGGUAGCCGGCCUGAGAGGGCGACCGGCCACACUGGGACUGAGACACGGCCCAGACUCCUACGGGAGGCAG